This 492-nucleotide ribosomal RNA is filed under the name uncultured bacterium. RNAcentral describes it as "partial 16S ribosomal RNA". It matches the Rfam family "Bacterial small subunit ribosomal RNA", at positions 29 to 507 of the family's 1533-position model. The record is from RNAcentral.
AGUGAACGCUGGCGGUAGGCCUAACACAUGCCAGUCGAACGGCAGCACAGUAAGAGCUUGCUCUUACGGGUGGCGAGUGGCGGACGGGUGAGGAAUACAUCGGAAUCUGCUUUUUCGUGGGGGAUAACGUAGGGAAACUUACGCUAAUACCGCAUACGACCUACGGGUGAAAGCAGGGGAUCUUCGGACCUUGCGCGAUUGAAUGGGCCGAUGUCGGAUUAGCUAGUUGGCGGGGUAAAGGCCCACCAAGGCGACGAUCCGUAGCUGGUCUGAGAGGAUGAUCAGCCACACUGGAACUGAGACACGGUCCAGACUCCUACGGGAGGCAGCAGUGGGGAAUAUUGGACAAUGGGCGCAAGCCUGAUCCAGCCAUACCGCGUGGGUGAAGAAGGCCUUCGGGUUGUAAAGCCCUUUUGUUGGGAAAGAAAAGCAGCAGGUUAAUACCCCGCUGUUCUGACGGUACCCAAAGAAUAAGCACCGGCUAACUUCGUG